GACGUUGGCUCAGCGGCCAUCUUCCUCACCAAAAAAAAAAAAAAAUCAACAGCAGAUAUUAAUCCAUGUUGGAUAUAAGUAGCAUUUUACAUUAGACCAAACUAUUUGGGAUCCUUCAUUGUUUGCGAAGACUCAAUUAGAGAAAUUCCCUGAAGUUUUUUUAGUUCUCCUCCUUUUCAACACACAUCCUCAAACCUUUCUUCAAAAUGACCAAUUUUUCUUCCCUAAUGCCUACUUCUACCUACUUUGUUGCAAUUGUCAUGCAUUAGGAAAGGGCUCUUGUGUUUUUAUUAUAAUAUAGCGUGUGAUGGUUUUGCCUCCUCUCUUCUGCUGCUCUGGGGUGCUCUUCUGGCUGGGGCCUAACGCAAAAUAAACAUCACCUUGGCCGGACAUUUCAUGUUCUCCAGCUGUGCUCUUCAUUGGGAGUCUUUUGGGCACCUUUAAUAUUACAAGCAUGAGAUUUGUUUGUAGGAGACCCUUUUUAUACUGAAAUGAAGGAUGAGGAUUUUACUAAGAAAUCUUUAACGACAUUGAAAAACUGUUAUAUCAUGAGAUGACCUACAUUUUUGUUUUAGCAUUUGAUAUAUGGAACUUCUCAUAUCUUUCAAAGCUUCGUCCAUUUCUAAUAACCCUUGACUGUGAGAAUAUUUAAAAAGUUAAAAAUUCUUUUUUUUCAGCAGUAUUUGAUAAUAAAAAUCUCAUGACUGAAUGCCAUCUUCUUGAUUCACCAUGCCCUGGGUGCAGUGAUCCCUUCACGCAGGUGGAGGAGAGGUGACAGGAGCAUGCCAGACACGCUUCCUUUGGUGGGGGCUUAAUUUCCUUUUCACCUCGAGUGCCUCCUAAUGGAAAUCAACCAGAAGAACUAUGAAUUACAAAAAGCAAAACGUUUUUUUCAUAAUCUCCAUGCUGCAGUGUAUUCUUCGAAUACUGAAAAGUUAAAAAAUAUGGAUUAAUGUUCAUGUAUAUAGUGUUAUCUAAUGUCCUAAUAGUUAAUAUUUACUAUCGUGUGUUUUAGAUAUGAUACUGUUUUUUCAGGGGAAGUGGGGAUAUUUUUUACUUUAUGCAGAAUAAAAAUGCACUGUGCCUA
Non-coding RNA from Equus caballus (horse), 1087 nucleotides. NCBI's taxonomy places the organism in Eukaryota, Metazoa, Chordata, Mammalia, Perissodactyla, Equidae. The record is from RefSeq and is a predicted model, not a curated record.